UGGGGUGUAGCUCAGUGGUAGAGCACUUGACUAGCCAUCCAUGAGAUCCUGGGUUCAAUUCCCAGGACCACAA
Molecule: transfer RNA, 73 nt
Filed under: Heterocephalus glaber (naked mole-rat)
Lineage: Eukaryota; Metazoa; Chordata; Mammalia; Rodentia; Bathyergidae
Rfam family: tRNA
About the family: Transfer RNA (tRNA) molecules are approximately 80 nucleotides in length. Their secondary structure includes four short double-helical elements and three loops (D, anti-codon, and T loops).
Source: Rfam by way of RNAcentral